UGCGGGCCCCGCAGCAGAGCGGAGCGGCCACGGCCGGGCGCAGGAAGGGGCGGGACCUGCGGGCGGGCCGGGCCGGGCGCCACCGCCUCCCGCCGGGCGCGGGGACAGCGCCGCGGCCGCGCCGCCGGGGCCGCUGCCGAGAGCGUAUCGAGGAAAUUGAGCUUAACUGGCUGCAGCACCUUGAACCACUUGGGAAACUAUAAGCUACUCAACAAGAGUGAAUAACAGUGUAAUGGAACAGAAAUGAGGGUUCAGCUAUCAUGGAUGAAACUGCCAACAGAUCAGAAGAAUGCAAGAGCUUUUUCUUUCCCACUGGUUUCAGAAGACUUAGUGAAUGUGCUAGCCAGACUGGCUUUUAGCAUUUAGUCCCAAAACCUCUGUCCGCAGUAAAAUGUUAUUUUCUGAUGGUGGGGAAAGCCACAAUUAUUAAAUGCCUGAAAUAAACAGCUAACAUCAUUCACGCUUGAGAUUUAAUGCAGUAGAAUAUAUCCAGUAGAACGGUGGAAAGUGUUCCUCAAGCACCAAAGUACAAAAAACCUCCUAAUUUCAAAUAAAAGUAAUCCUCAUGGAUAAAUACCGUAAAUUAUUAAUGUUAAAAACACCAGCAUUCUCAGAAUCAAUUGGUCUGUGGCUGUAAGCACGUCUCCAAUUUAUACCACCCAUACCUGCAUCCUUACUCCUGCUCUGAGACACAUGCAAGGACACAACAGUCAUGUACCACAAAGGCAGAUAGCAGCAGCAGAUUUUGUGCCAUCAGGACACCCUCACUUCCACCUGGAGUAGAAGAUGCCUUUAGAGGUUGCGAGCAGUUGGAGCUAAGGCACACAUGAUCAGAGCCAGGCCUGGCCCUGCUGUACUCCUGUUACCCUGUACCUGCUGAAUAGCCAGGAGGAAAUGGAUGUACAGAGCAGUGCAGCUCUGUCCCAAUCCCACUGCGGCACGUCUGUCUGAGCUUCAGGUACACCGUUGUGUCAAGGGGACACACAUGUAUUUAAUGUUCUCAGGUCAUGUUCUCAUGUUUUUCUUAGGAGUCAUUAAGGCUUAAACUUACUUUAAAUUAAAAACUGAAACUCGAAAGUAAAGGGGUGACUCCUGAACACCUUAGAAGGGAUCUCUAUGUUUUCCGUCCCUUUUUAAGAAGGCAACAUUUCCCCUCUAUCCUUGAUCAAGAAGGAAGUCUGUUCGAAGCACAGCUGUGUGUGCUGUCCACCAGCAGUGCUGGCAACAUUUCUGUGGUGGGCAGGGAGGAUCUUUGGGGAUUUAGGCUCACCUGGCUUUUAUAUCUUCCAGUUUCCAGUCCCAGGAAUACCUACAAGAUUUGCCCGCAGAGGUAAAAUCCAAGAGCAUGUUUUGUAUCAUACAUGAAUAAAGCUAAAAACAAUAUUCAAUUUCCAUUUAUUAUUAGGAGACACAUGCUUUGUAAUGUUUUACAGUUUUCCCCCUAUUGCUAAAGGUGGUUAUUUUUUCUUCUAAAAGGUUCAACCACACCAUCUUAGAAUUGCUGACAGAGGAAAAAGAUUGCUGUGUUAACAAGAGCAUGUUUCCAGUAUCUUCUCGUCAAGUUUAGUUCAGAAAUCUGGCAAGGAAGCUGAA
Molecule: long non-coding RNA, 1593 nt
Organism: Prinia subflava (tawny-flanked prinia)
Lineage: Eukaryota; Metazoa; Chordata; Aves; Passeriformes; Cisticolidae
Exons: 3
Source: RefSeq, a predicted model, not a curated record